UUUUAAUUCACACACCAAACCUGUAUCUCAGUUACACUGGUCCCACAAACACUGCAGUGUCCUGACUUUACUACUGAGGCUAGGUCGUUCUGCACCCAACAGCCGGUCACAAGCACACCCACAGCUUUCGGGGCCCCAGCAGAGAAUCCCAUCGCUCGUUUGCCUUGGCCUGUCCCUAGAAGCUGGGUUAAUUCCAUGACCUGCUCAGUCUCCCUCCGCCUAAAGGUAUCGCAGGAUUAAGUGUUUCACCUCAUCAGACGAAAAAGCUAGUCAGCAGCUCUGUUUAUGAUCUUUGGGGAUUAAUCAGGAAGUUUUUGGUAACACUCAUGAAUAUUAUCUCCCCAAGAAGUGAAUGGCGACCUACCAGAGAGGCACGUUAAAAAAUUGUUUUUAACACGUAUGUGGAAAUAGCGAUCGAAGUGACUCGAUUCACUGUCCAAGCUGCAAAGUGCACCGUCAGUGCCUAGCACUCCUCCCCCCCCCCGCCCCCCUGCAAACGCACCUGCAGAGGAUUGUAAGUUGUGACUGCCCCCAGGGCAUGGAUCAAGAGUCUCCAAGAGAGACUCAGUAGAAAGGAAGAAAAACAGGGGGGGUAAAAACCUAGUUAAAGGAAAAUCUCUGGAACAAGACUUACCACUCUGGCUUCUGCUGGUCCAGGGUAUGUAGGAAGGCGGAGUUGGGGUCCAGGCAGCGCUCAGGGUCACUGGAGAUGUCCUCCUCCGAGUCCUCAUAGGAAGAGGAGAAGCCAGUGGAGGAGGCAGACGAAGAGGACAGUUUCCUCAGGGGCAGGUGCCCCGGGGACUUCCCUGCACCUCCUCCACGUCCUUGUCCUCCUGGGGCACCCAUGUCGGUAAUGAUGAACGGCAGGAGAUGCAAAGACCCAUGUCAGAUGUCACGGCGAAAGCAACUGGAAGGCGCAGCAAUGCAUACGGUGAACGUGGAAAUUUCGCUCGCUAGUCCCUGGGAAAUCUCACUGUCACCUCAUGAAAAGACAUCACCGGCCUUUCCCAGAACGGAGGCAUUCCGGCUUCUGCAAUGGACAAUUAGGCUGAAGAAUUUUUGCUCAGAAGGCAGCCAGCAGCUGGUCAGGGGUGGGCAUUAAGAAAAAAUUUCUGGGGCGCCUGGGUGGCUCAGUCGGGUGAGCGUCCGACUUCGGCUCAGGUCAUGAUCUCACGGUUGGUGGGUUCGAGCCCCGCGUCGGGGUCUGUGCUGACAGCUCGGAGCCUGGAGCCUGGAGCCUGCUUCUGCUUCUGUGUCUCCCUCUCUCUCUGCCCCUAACCCACUCGCAUUCUGUCUCUGUCGCUCUCAAAAAUAAAUAAAAAUUAAAAAAAAAAAAAAAGGAAAGAAAACAUUU
This 1354-nucleotide long non-coding RNA is filed under the name Lynx canadensis (Canada lynx). Its description in RNAcentral is "lncRNA (ENSLCNG00005018677.1)". The record is from RNAcentral. Lineage: Eukaryota; Metazoa; Chordata; Mammalia; Carnivora; Felidae.